AGAGAUAUUACUGUUAGAUAAAUUUCAUUUCGAUGUGAUUGAUUUAAAAUAUCUCACCGGAAGAAUUUGUCUGACAUUUAUCUCUAUUGC
This 90-nucleotide microRNA precursor is filed under the name Polistes canadensis. RNAcentral describes it as "microRNA pca-mir-11665 precursor". Lineage: Eukaryota; Metazoa; Arthropoda; Insecta; Hymenoptera; Vespidae. The record is from miRBase by way of RNAcentral.